CGCGGUACAUAGUUUUGAGAAGCAGAGCCACAAAAGCAGGAUGCUAACUGUAAGAACUUACCACCUGACAUUCUUGAAGACAGCGGUGAAACAACAGGAAAUGUCCGGAGGGAAACACACAGCAGCGCAGAACUUUGAGACACUAGCAGGCUCCUCCUCCCUCCCACCACAGCUCUGAGAGAAUGUCACUAGGUAAUAAUUGCCAUGGGGAUGGCAGAGCCUGGUGAAGCUGGGGGCGGCUUGACUGAAGUCCAUCGCUGAGUUUGGGAUAUUUAGAAGUAAUGAGGGACCGGACUCGUCAUCACUCGAGAAAACAACCGAACAAAG
This is a long non-coding RNA of Solea senegalensis (Senegalese sole), 327 nucleotides long. RefSeq lists it as uncharacterized. The transcript has 4 exons. Lineage: Eukaryota; Metazoa; Chordata; Actinopteri; Pleuronectiformes; Soleidae. The record is from RefSeq and is a predicted model, not a curated record.